UACAGAGGUCCCAAGCGUUGUUCGGAUUCAUUGGGCGUAAAGGGUGCGUAGGCGGCGCGGUAAGUCGGGUGUGAAAUCUCGGAGCUUAACUCCGAAACUGCAUUCGAUACUGCCGUGCUUGAGGACUGGAGAGGAGACUGGAAUUUACGGUGUAGCGGUGAAAUGCGUAGAUAUCGGAAGGAAGACCAGUGGCGAAGGCGGGUCUCUGGACAGUUCCUGACGCUGAGGCACGAAGGCCAGGGGAGCAGACGGG
This 253-nucleotide ribosomal RNA is filed under the name uncultured bacterium. RNAcentral's name for it is "partial 16S ribosomal RNA". It matches the Rfam family "Bacterial small subunit ribosomal RNA", at positions 524 to 776 of the family's 1533-position model. The record is from RNAcentral.